Molecule: ribosomal RNA, 253 nt
Filed under: uncultured bacterium
Lineage: Bacteria
Description: partial 16S ribosomal RNA
Rfam family: Bacterial small subunit ribosomal RNA
Source: RNAcentral
UACGAGUGGUCCAAUCGUUAUUCGGAAUCACUGGGCUUACAGAGUUCGUAGGCGGUUCUACAAGUGGGGUGUGAAAGCCCUCGGCUCAACCGAGGAACUGCGCUCCAAACUGUAGAACUAGAGGAAGAUAGAGGUGAGCGGAACUGAUGGUGGAGCGGUGAAAUGCGUUGAUAUCAUCAGGAACACCGGAGGCGAAGGCGGCUCACUGGGUCUUUUCUGACGCUGAGGAACGAAAGCUAGGGUAGCGAACGGG